Molecule: ribosomal RNA, 301 nt
Filed under: uncultured bacterium
Lineage: Bacteria
Description: partial 16S ribosomal RNA
Rfam family: Bacterial small subunit ribosomal RNA
Source: RNAcentral
CAGUCGCCGCGGUAAUACGAGGGGUGCAAGCGUUGUCCGGAAUUAUUGGGCGUAAAGGGCUCGCAGGCGGUUUCUUAAGUCUGAUGUGAAAGCCCCCGGCUCAACCGGGGAGGGUCAUUGGAAACUGGGAAACUUGAGUGCAGAAGAGGAGAGUGGAAUUCCACGUGUAGCGGUGAAAUGCGUAGAGAUGUGGAGGAACACCAGUGGCGAAGGCGACUCUCUGGUCUGUAACUGACGCUGAGGAGCGAAAGCGUGGGGAGCGAACAGGAUUAGAUACCCCAGUAGUCCCUGUCUCUUAUAC